AGAGUUUGAUUAUGGCUCAGGACGAACGCUGGCGGUGUGCCUCAUACAUGCAAGUCGAACGAGAAGUUACCUUCGGGUAAUGGAAAGUGGCGGACGGGUGAGUACAACAUAGGAAAUCUGCCCUAAAGCGGGGGACAACAGAGGGAAACUCCUGCUAAUACCCCAUAUGAGCUUAGUUGAAAUACUAAUCUUGAAAGAUUUAUCACUUUAGGAUGAGCCUGUGCCUGAUUAGCUGGUUGGUGGUGUAAUGGACUACCAAGGCGACGAUCAGUAGCUGGUUUGAGAGGAUGAUCAGCCACAAUGGGACUGAGACACGGCCCAUACUCCUACGGGAGGCAGCAGUAGGGAAUUUUGCGCAAUGGGGGAAACCCUGACGCAGCAACACCGCGUGAAUGUUAAGCCCUUCGGGGUGUAAAGUUCUGUCAAUAGGGAAGAAUAAAUGACUGUACCUAUAAAGGAAGCACCGGCUAACUCCGUGCCAGCCGCCGC
RNAcentral lists this ribosomal RNA (489 nucleotides) under uncultured bacterium. RNAcentral's name for it is "bacterial SSU rRNA". It matches the Rfam family "Bacterial small subunit ribosomal RNA", at positions 8 to 518 of the family's 1533-position model. The record is from RNAcentral.